This 165-nucleotide ribosomal RNA is filed under the name uncultured bacterium. Its description in RNAcentral is "partial 16S rRNA". It matches the Rfam family "Bacterial small subunit ribosomal RNA", at positions 355 to 511 of the family's 1533-position model. The record is from RNAcentral.
UAGGGAAUCUUCGGCAAUGGACGAAAGUCUGACCGAGCAACGCCGCGUGAGUGAAGAAGGUUUUCGGAUCGUAAAACUCUGUUGGUAGAGAAGAACGUUGGUGUGAGUGGAAAGCUCAUCAAGUGACGGUAACUACCCAGAAAGGGACGGCUAACUACGUGUCAG